UACGGGGGGGGCAAGCGUUGUUCGGAAUUACUGGGCGUAAAGGGCUCGUAGGCGGCCAACUAAGUCAGACGUGAAAUCCCUCGGCUUAACCGGGGAACUGCGUCUGAUACUGGAUGGCUUGAGUUUGGGAGAGGGAUGCGGAAUUCCAGGUGUAGCGGUGAAAUUCGUAGAUAUUGGGAAGAACACCGGUGGCGAAGGCGGCCAUCUGGACCAUUUCUGACGCUGAGGCGCGAAAGCGUGGGGAGCAAACAGG
RNAcentral lists this ribosomal RNA (253 nucleotides) under uncultured bacterium. RNAcentral's name for it is "partial 16S ribosomal RNA". It matches the Rfam family "Bacterial small subunit ribosomal RNA", at positions 524 to 776 of the family's 1533-position model. The record is from RNAcentral.